CAUGCUUUUGGCUCAAUAUUUUUCCUCUUGAGCUAUACCACCAUUAAUUAUAAUCAACUCUUUCUUUCUCAAUACACCGACAUUCCUCUAAAACUUAUUCAUCACACCUCCAUAUUUUCUCUCAUCAAUGCCUUCUUCUCCUUCUUUUUCCACCUUAAUCAACAAAUUUUACGAACAAAUGCGUGCUCCGUCCUUGUAUUUUUGAGAAUUCUCUUCCUUCAAGAUCCCUCGUUGCUUAGCCUCCAACGACGGUUGCGAAGUGCUUUGAUGCAAUUAGAUCUAGAUCUAAUUAAGCAUUCAAGUUACGAAGUGCGUUAGUUACGCCUACGUUUGAAUUUCACAACUGGGCAAUAUCAAAAUUGGCUAAAUUGACACUAUUAAAAGGGAAUUUUGGAAUACCCAAUUUUCACACAGAGUUGCAAUUGAUUUGUUCCUUAUCUGAUGAAUCCAUGCAGAAAUUCCUUACCUGCGAAAUUCAGAGUGACCAAAAGUUCCAGGUCAUCGAACUUGCAGAAAAUUGAAUACUCAAGCCUUAUUGAUGUAAAUGUAGAAGUAAAUUUUAGGACUUCAAAUAUUUUUGUGUUAGUUUUGCUUAAAAGUUGUUUUUUUUUUUAAUUUAUUUUUGGGUAUCAUAUCAAAAUUUUUAUCCCAUGCUAUUUCAUAUGGUCUUAAAGUAUUGUAAGUACUUAAAAUUUAUUAAUUUUCCACCAAUUUGUGUAGCGACAAAAUAUUCAAUCUUCAAAUGCAAACCAUAUCAAACGCAAAAAAUAAUU
This is a long non-coding RNA of Chenopodium quinoa (quinoa), 773 nucleotides long. RefSeq lists it as uncharacterized. The transcript has 3 exons. NCBI's taxonomy places the organism in Eukaryota, Viridiplantae, Streptophyta, Magnoliopsida, Caryophyllales, Amaranthaceae. The record is from RefSeq and is a predicted model, not a curated record.